RNAcentral lists this ribosomal RNA (694 nucleotides) under Lactarius luculentus. Its description in RNAcentral is "eukaryotic LSU rRNA". The stretch from base 226 to 379 matches the Rfam family "5.8S ribosomal RNA". The record is from RNAcentral. Lineage: Eukaryota; Fungi; Basidiomycota; Agaricomycetes; Russulales; Russulaceae.
AAGGAUCAUUAUCGUACAAAAUGUGAGGGGCAUGUGAGGGCUGUUGCCGACUCAACGUCGUGCACGCCCGAGUGUGUCCUCUCACAUAAUAAUCCAUCUCACCCUUUGUGCAUCGCCGCGUGGGCACCCUUUGGGAUCAUCUCGGAGGGGGCUCGCGUUUUCACACAAACCCCCCUUUUAAAAGUGUAGAAUGACCUCAUUUAUGCGCUAACCCGCAAUCAAUACAACUUUCAACAACGGAUCUCUUGGCUCUCGCAUCGAUGAAGAACGCAGCGAAAUGCGAUACGUAAUGUGAAUUGCAGAAUUCAGUGAAUCAUCGAAUCUUUGAACGCACCUUGCGCCCCUUGGUAUUCCGAGGGGCACACCCGUUUGAGUGUCGUGAAAACCUCAACCUCCUUGGUUUCUUCUUCUGGAGACCAAAGCAGGCUUGGACUUUGGAGGCCUUUGCUGGCACCUCUCUCUUUUGAAGGUCAGCUCCUCUUAAAUGAAUUAGCAGGGUCCUCUUUGCUGAACCUUGACAUGUGAUAAGAUGUUUCCACGUCUUGGUUUCUGGCUCUGUCACUUUUGGGACCCGCUUCUAAUCGUCUUGACCUUGCGUCGAGACAAUGUUCGAGCACGCCUCCCUUCUCGGGAAGCUCCCUCGACCCCACGAACCCUUGACCUCAAAUCGGGUGAGACUACCCGCUGAACUUAA